RNAcentral lists this transfer RNA (84 nucleotides) under Oscillospiraceae bacterium. RNAcentral describes it as "tRNA-Leu". It matches the Rfam family "tRNA". Rfam says of the family: Transfer RNA (tRNA) molecules are approximately 80 nucleotides in length. Their secondary structure includes four short double-helical elements and three loops (D, anti-codon, and T loops). Further hydrogen bonds mediate the characteristic L-shaped molecular structure. tRNAs have two regions of fundamental functional importance: the anti-codon, which is responsible for specific mRNA codon recognition, and the 3' end, to which the tRNAs corresponding amino acid is attached (by aminoacyl-tRNA synthetases). tRNAs cope with the degeneracy of the genetic code in two manners: having more than one tRNA (with a specific anti-codon) for a particular amino acid; and 'wobble' base-pairing, i.e. permitting non-standard base-pairing at the 3rd anti-codon position. Lineage: Bacteria; Bacillati; Bacillota; Clostridia; Eubacteriales; Oscillospiraceae. The record is from RNAcentral.
GCCCUAAUGAUGGAAUUGGUAGACAUGCAAGAUUUAGGCUCUUGUGACUAUUAAGUCAUGUAGGUUCGAGUCCUACUUAGGGUA